CCUACGGGAGGCAGCAGUGAGGAAUAUUCGUCAAUGGCCGGAAGGCUGACCCAGCCACGCCGCGUGAAGGUCAGUGCCCUAUGGGCGUUAAACUUCUUUUGUGCGGGAGCAAUAAUGGUAACGUGUGGCCAGACGAGAGUACCGUACGAAUAUGCAUCGGCUAACACAGUGCCAGCAGCCGCGGUACUACGGGGGAUGCAAGCGUUAUCCGGUUUUAUUGGGUUUAAAGGGUGCGUAGGCUGUGGGGUAAGUUAGCGGUGAAAUGCCCCCGCUCAACGGGGUGAAGUGCCAUUGAUACUGCCUUGCUGGAAGGCGGAUGCCGUGGGAGGAA
This 331-nucleotide ribosomal RNA is filed under the name uncultured bacterium. RNAcentral describes it as "partial 16S ribosomal RNA". It matches the Rfam family "Bacterial small subunit ribosomal RNA", at positions 338 to 666 of the family's 1533-position model. The record is from RNAcentral.